Molecule: ribosomal RNA, 396 nt
Filed under: Triticum aestivum (bread wheat)
Lineage: Eukaryota; Viridiplantae; Streptophyta; Magnoliopsida; Poales; Poaceae
Description: partial small subunit ribosomal RNA
Source: RNAcentral
AUGGAGAAGAUCAGCAGGGGCGAGUUGAAGACAAUCUGCAUCAAGAUUAAUAGAGGGAGAGAACAACAGCGGGGUAAGAGAAAGAAACAACAGUUUUGGUUCAGAGAAGAGCAAAAGCAUGUGGGAGAGAAGGAGCAGAAGUGGCUUGGAUUGGAAAGGAAGGGCAGUAGCAAGGAGGGUUCAGAUCGUAGCAGCAGCAAGAGGGUGCAAGGAGAAGGAGAAGCAGGGGGGUUGAGAGAAGAAGAACAGCAGCAGGUUCGUCGGGAAGAAGAAGAAGAAGACCAGCGAGGUGGAUGGAGUGGCGCGGCGGCGGAGAAUGAUGGACGAUGCUGCUGGCUGGCUGGGAGGAUGGCGCUGGUGGAGAUGGACGGAGAUGGUGGUGACUUGCGGCGCUAA